Molecule: ribosomal RNA, 741 nt
Filed under: Triticum aestivum (bread wheat)
Lineage: Eukaryota; Viridiplantae; Streptophyta; Magnoliopsida; Poales; Poaceae
Description: partial small subunit ribosomal RNA
Source: RNAcentral
AUGCUAUGUAAGUUUGUAGCUAAAAUUCUCCACUCCUCCGAUAUACCCUGCUUCAAGUGGUUUGCCUCCCAAUAUUGCAAGGAUUCUUUGCCUUUCAAGGGUCACCACAAAGAUACUGCUAUAUGGAAGGGUCUUAAGAGCUACAUCCCUCUGGUUGUCUCCUCCUCGCGCUGCUCUGUUGGCAGCGGCGCGCACGUCUCCUUUUGGCAUGAUCGAUGGCCGAUGCCUGACAGUUUGAAGCAAGCUUUCCCGGUCCUUUUCUCCUUUGCUCGCAAUCCAGACUGUUCUGUGCAAUCUCAGUUUAUAGAAGGAAACUGGCAUGUACAUCUGCAUCCAAACCUCUCACAGACUGCAACUCAGGAUUUGCAACUGCUUCACCAGCUUGUGGAUCAAGUCAACUUGGAUUUUUCAAGUUUGGAUGCAUGGGUUCCAAUGCUUGGAGGUAACAGUUUAUGCACCAGCUACUUCUACAAGUUGCUCACCUUCUGGGGAGUUCUUUGGGCUCCUGCGUUCUGGAUAUGGGACAAUAUUAUUCCCCUCAAGAGUAGAAUUUUCUUGUGGUUGGCUUUUUGGGGGCGCCUGAACACCAAGGCUAACAUGUUGCACAAAGGUUGGUCGGCAGUGGCUCCAACUGCUAGCUGCGAUGCUUGCCCGGCUGAGGAGACAGCUGACCAUCUGCUCCUUCGCCGCCGUCCCGCCGAUGCACUAUGGAGCAGGCUAUCGCUAGCACCGCUGGCGUGA